UUUGGUUGGAGUUGGCUGUGUGUA
Molecule: non-coding RNA, 24 nt
Filed under: Cricetulus griseus (Chinese hamster)
Lineage: Eukaryota; Metazoa; Chordata; Mammalia; Rodentia; Cricetidae
Source: RNAcentral